RNAcentral lists this ribosomal RNA (242 nucleotides) under uncultured Paludibacter sp. Its description in RNAcentral is "partial 16S ribosomal RNA". It matches the Rfam family "Bacterial small subunit ribosomal RNA", at positions 796 to 1041 of the family's 1533-position model. The record is from RNAcentral. Lineage: Bacteria; Pseudomonadati; Bacteroidota; Bacteroidia; Bacteroidales; Paludibacteraceae.
CACGCAGUAAACGAUGAAUACUAACUGUAUGCGAUAUACUGUAUGCGGUACAGCGAAAGCGUUAAGUAUUCCACCUGGGGAGUACGUUCGCAAGAAUGAAACUCAAAGGAAUUGACGGGGGCCCGCACAAGCGGAGGAACAUGUGGUUUAAUUCGAUGAUACGCGAGGAACCUUACCCGGGCUUGAAAUGCAGAAGACCGAUCGGGAAACCGAUUUUCCAGCAAUGGCUUCUGUGUAGGUGC